RNAcentral lists this ribosomal RNA (688 nucleotides) under Blautia wexlerae. RNAcentral describes it as "bacterial SSU rRNA". It matches the Rfam family "Bacterial small subunit ribosomal RNA", at positions 857 to 1533 of the family's 1533-position model. The record is from RNAcentral. Lineage: Bacteria; Bacillati; Bacillota; Clostridia; Lachnospirales; Lachnospiraceae.
GCGUUAAGCGUCCCGCCUGGGGAGUACGGCCGCAAGGCUAAAACUCAAAGGAAUUGACGGGGGCCCGCACAAGCGGCGGAGCAUGCGGAUUAAUUCGAUGCAACGCGAAGAACCUUACCUGGGCUUGACAUGUUCCCGACGGUCGUAGAGAUACGGCUUCCCUUCGGGGCGGGUUCACAGGUGGUGCAUGGUCGUCGUCAGCUCGUGUCGUGAGAUGUUGGGUUAAGUCCCGCAACGAGCGCAACCCUCGCCCCGUGUUGCCAGCGGAUUAUGCCGGGAACUCACGGGGGACCGCCGGGGUUAACUCGGAGGAAGGUGGGGAUGACGUCAGAUCAUCAUGCCCCUUACGUCCAGGGCUUCACGCAUGCUACAAUGGCCGGUACAACGGGAUGCGACGCGGCGACGCGGAGCGGAUCCCUGAAAACCGGUCUCAGUUCGGAUCGCAGUCUGCAACUCGACUGCAUGAAGUCGGAGUCGCUAGUAAUCGCGAAUCAGCAACGUCGCGGUGAAUACGUUCCCGGGCCUUGUACACACCGCCCGUCAAGUCAUGAAAGUGGGCAGCACCCGAAGCCGGUGGCCUAACCCCUUGUGGGAUGGAGCCGUCUAAGGUGAGGCUCGUGAUUGGGACUAAGUCGUAACAAGGUAGCCGUACCGGAAGGUGCGGCUGGAUCACCUCCUUUCUACGGAG